Molecule: long non-coding RNA, 1512 nt
Organism: Trifolium pratense (red clover)
Lineage: Eukaryota; Viridiplantae; Streptophyta; Magnoliopsida; Fabales; Fabaceae
Exons: 3
Source: RefSeq, a predicted model, not a curated record
AAUGAAUAAUAUUUUUGACUCUCAUCACUUUAUGUGUGUUCAUAUUUCACUUUCUCCAUCCUAAUACCUUGAACUUUAGUAUUCCAAUUAUGUACUGAGAUAAUGGAUUUCUAGCUUCACUACAAGAUAAUUUGGAAAUAACGGCGGAAUGAUAGCGGCGGUUCCUUGAAACAGUCGUCGCUAUUUGAAUUCUAGGACAUUGCGGCUGUUCUAUGUAAACCGUCGCGGCUCAGAUCUGGAAAAAGCGCGCUUCCCAUUUCUUUUUUUACCUCUUCUUAUUUUCCACCCAAACAUUUCAAGUUUUGAUACACUAGUUUCAUUUUCGUAGAACAAUGAAAUCUCCUAUUUGUAAUUUCUGAAAAUCAUUCUCUGUAUCGUUCAACCCUCGUUCAACUUCAGCAAAGCUUAGAGCGAUUCAGAAUCGUUCUCUGAUUCUGAAGAUCGUUCAACUUCUGAAUCUUUCAACUUUGAUUCGGUUCAACUCUCGUUCAACUUCAGAAUCGUUCUCUCAAGCUUCGAUUCAGUUUCUCAGCAAAGCCACGAAAUCCUUCUCAUCUUCUCAAGCAAAGCUUCGAUUCAGAAUCUCUAUAGCUUUAAUUCAGUUUUGUUCAUCCAUCGAUCCAGGGUCUUCAUGCCGGUCUUAACCUUGCAUUGGCUAUUGCUCUACAAAAUAUCCCUGAGGUACAAAUUCUUAUCUCGUGACAGAGUUAGUUUAGAUUUGAGGUGAGUAUUGUAAAACUGUGACAGGCAAGAUGCAUCUUUUAUUGCUGCAGUUAUGAAUUAUGCGUUGCAUAUGCAUAUAUUUUUCACCCCUUUGUCCUACUUUGUUUUGUUGAUAUUGGAUAUAUACAGGAUUGUUACCAAUUCAUACUUGAACAAGACAAAGUUGCUAAAACUAGUUUUGAGGAGUCUGAAGUUACCUCAGCACUUAGAAGUGACAGGUCUUGAAAUAAAGAGGCAUCACAAAUUUUACACUUUGUCUGUUCAAAUUUACAGUCCUGUUGAUUCUGUUUAAAGUGUAUUAUAUGACCAGAUGAGUAUAGUAUAGGUAGACGUGGUUACCCAUAUUAUAUGACCAGAUGAGCCAGUUGUGUGUGUAUGUGGUUUGACCUCUGAUUAUUGUGUGCCCGAGUAGAACUAUUGUGUGUGAAUAUUGUCAAUGUGCCUCUGUAUUUUAUUGACUGUUAUUAAUCUUAAGUUAAUCCCCUAAGUACUUCAGUUGUAUGUGAUAUCUGAAUCGGCUUCGGGUUCUUGCUAACCUUAUUGAGAUAACUAUUGUAGCUGGUUACUGAAGCAUUUCCUUAACCUUUUAUGAUGUUUUAGCUUUUCUAUUGUGGCUUUUCCAUUGUCAUGUUCAAAUGUGAAUGGGCUAAUACAACUAACCUUAAGAGGCAUGAAGAAGGAUAAGUUGAGCUUUACUUCUAUUAACUUUGCAAGAUUAAUACAUACCGGAGAACAUGAUGAUGAUGAACCAUACAUCAAAGCUUCUAAACCAUACAACAAACUCGUGUU